GACGAAGCGUGCAAACGUUAUUCGGAAUCACUGGGCUUAAAGCGUGCGUAGGCGGCUCAGUAAGUUGGGUGUGAAAUCCCUCGGCUCAACCGAGGAAUUGCGCUCAAAACUACUGAGCUCGAGGGAGUUAGAGGUGAGCGGAACUAAUGGUGGAGCGGUGAAAUGCGUUGAUAUCAUUAGGAACACCGGUGGCGAAGGCGGGUCUCUGGGCAGAAACUGACGCUGAGGAGCGAAAGCGUGGGGAGCGAACAGG
Molecule: ribosomal RNA, 253 nt
Filed under: uncultured bacterium
Lineage: Bacteria
Description: partial 16S ribosomal RNA
Rfam family: Bacterial small subunit ribosomal RNA
Source: RNAcentral